CCCUUAGAUGUCCUGGGCUGCACGCGCGCUACACUGAUGUGUCCAACAAGCACCUAACCUCUUCCGAAGGGAACGGGUAACCUUAGCAAAGCACAUCGUGAUGGGGAUAGAUUAUUGCAAUUAUUAGUCUUGAACGAGGAAUUCCUAGUAAGCACAAGUCAUCAGCUUGUGUUGAUUACGUCCCUGCCCUUUGUACACACCGCCCGUCGCUCCUACCGAUUGAAUGUUCCGGUGAAUACUUCGGACUGCGAGAUUUGCAGUCUCUGCGCUUCUUGCGGAAAGUUGAAUAAACCUUAACAUUUAGAGGAAGGAGAAGUCGUAACA
RNAcentral lists this ribosomal RNA (324 nucleotides) under uncultured eukaryote. Its description in RNAcentral is "partial 18S ribosomal RNA". It matches the Rfam family "Eukaryotic small subunit ribosomal RNA", at positions 1470 to 1796 of the family's 1831-position model. The record is from RNAcentral.